UCCUCGUCAAUUGUCAUUGUUGAAUGCAUUGUUGACAAUAGGAUAACUGAUUUUGAUUUCUUGGGGACAUAUGAUACAAGAGUUGUAUUUUCAUUGAAGCCAAAAAUUGAAGAAAAGAUAGGUCUAUUCCUGUUGGGUAAAAACUCUACAGGAAUUUCCUUUUUAUUUUUUUUCAAAGUUCCAACGAGGGUCAAGUUAUGUUCAGUCAACAAACUUUGAGCUAGUGGGAAACUUGUAUACCAGUUAUCAGUGGUAAUAUUUCGUUUUGUUCCUGAUACUGGUUCCACCAAUCUUUUGACAACAUCAUCAGAAGCAUUGGAUUUAUAAAAAGGUCCACGAUUGUUACCAACAUACGGCUCCAUAUUCACAGUAUAGAACGUGUGUGCAUCAGACAUCAUGUAUAUUUUCAAGCCAUAUUUUGCAGGUUUGUUUGGUAUGUAUUGGCGAAAAUUACAUUUCCCUCUAAAAGGAAUAAGCUUUUCAUCGAUUGUUAAAUAUUCGCCAGGGGAAUACAUUUGUUUACAGUUGGCAACAAACAUUUCAAAAAUUUCCCUCAGGGCAGCAAAUUUGUCAUUAUCUCUUCUGAUCUGUCUAGUAAGGACAUUGUCAAAUCGAAUUACUCGCAAAAGGAACAAAAAUCGUUCAUAGGCCAUUGCUGCUCUGCAUAUUUCUAUACCAGUGCCAUUUGCAUUCCAAAUUUCUUUGAAAUGCAAAUGCGAUGCACGAUUUUUUUCCGAUUAUUAUUAUGAGUCCGAGCAGACAACGGAUUUCAUUUUCAUCUGUAUUGCGGCAAUCUCUCUCCCUGCUAUAAUUUGGCCUGAUGGUCUCAAUAAAAAUAUUUGUGUAUUCAACUAUUUUUUUGAUUAUGUCAAUACUAAUAAAUUUCAAAAAAGCUUCUAAUGGAGUUGGAGUGUUCUUACCAAAUUGUUUAGAACAAGGUAAGUGUGUAAUAAUAUUUAUAGCUCUUGUACGUACCCUUGAUGUUCUCCAUUCUUCCUUUUUCCAUUUGGUCAUUUUAUCUCUUCCAAAGAAGUACGUAGAAUCCUGAUGUGGUUCUUGUUCAUCGUCUUCUUGUUCUGAAUCUGAGCUAUGGGGGAUAUAUUCUUCAUCAUCACUAAAGUUAUCAUCAUCUAGCUCAUCAAAAUCUUCUUCUUCCUCAUCAAACAAGCUAAAAAGUGAUUGAAUAUUUUUGCUAUCCAUUAUAAUAUUGGAUCAAAGUAAGCUUAGAUGAUGGGCAAAGUGAAACUAAAUUGACACUGAAAGGUAGGGGAAAUGACUCAUGGUGCGUGAGAAUUCAGCAGUAUCAUAUUCGGGCUGAUUACAAAACUUUGUUACGUAAGUACUCGCGCGGGGUGUGACACACCCCAUUCUAGCAAAAAGAAUAAAUUACAAAUAUAUUCCCUCUAUUAAUUUUGUUGAAAUUUGACAUGUCUAUUUGGCACAUUGAAAUAUUAAGCUAUUGAAAAAAUUGGAAGAUUUUGGUUAAGGAUUUAAUGAUUUUCUUGAGGUAAAGUGAUAGCUUGGGGUGUGAUACACCCCGCGCGAGUACUUAAGGGUUAAAUAUGGUAAUAAAUAUGAAAAGAAGUAAUUCUAAUAAAGAAUUAGACUGUGUUGGAUCGGUGGUUCAAUCAGAUGCAGAAUAGAUUGGAAUAUAUAAGUUUUAAUAUAUCGCAAUAUACUUAGCAAAAUAUACAUAGCAAGCAGCCAGAACAAGGGAAGACAUAAACAGGAAGUGAAGGGAAAGGUACAGCGCUUCUAGUGGUUGGAAGCACCUCAAUGCCACGUCGUCCCGUGACAUAGGCGCGCUGGAAGCCACUGCGUAUUUGAAGGAAGCACAUAGUUCAGCAGACUGAAAGGUUGUUUACUUUGGAAGAGAGUUAUAAAAUGAGGAUGUAUUUCAUUUUAUUGCAAGAUACUGCUCAACUAGAAUUCAAUUCACUCCCUGUGUCUAUCAGUGCUUGGAGUUUGUGGUUAUUAUGUCCUUAUACAUUUGUCCUUUCUUUGUGGCUUCAACCAAAUAAUUUUGUCUUUAUCUUGUGGCUUUGUUUGUUUCACAAGGGUGUUGUAUCACUUCUAGAUGGAUAUUGACUUGCUAUGUGGUCAAAAGAAUUACAAUUGAAACAUUUUCCCCCAAAUCUUUGAAUUUACACUCAUGUGACAGAUGACCUCUUUUACCACAGUUGAAGCAUUUUGAUUCCUUAGCAUUAAUUGGUUUUGGAAUCACUUUGCUUAUAGUGUUGUUUGUCUUUGACUUAGAUUCCAUCACUUUGUAAUUCUUUAGUUUAAAGUCAGAUUAAGAUGUGUGGAGUCAUAUAAGAUAGACUUAUUGAAUUCUUGGUUGGGAAUUCCAUCAAUCACAUUUUGGAUUAUGACAGCUUUCUCAAGAUUGCCUUGACAUCCAAGUUCUCUCAUAUUCAAAAAAUAUACAUAGUAGGUUUCAUUUUGUUGUUUCUUUCUUUUGGUUAAAAGAAUAUGAAUAUACCUACUAUCAAUUGUGAUAGUCUUAGAAAAAAUACGAUGUUUCUAUUAAUAAAUUCCAAGUUGUUUUGUACUCACUUAUUUGUAGUUACGAAGACAUCCCAAUCAUUAUAAACUAAUAUAGUUUAUACGAACCAAAAUAUAUUUAUUUAAGGAAUGACUUGUCUCCCAAUACAAAAGUUAUAAAAACAUGCGAGUGACAAAACCAAAAUAGGAAGUUCAAAGCCUAGUUGUGACGUCAACGCCGAUGAUAAAGUCAAAGUCUGCGUAACACAUCAGGUUGUUAAACUCAUGGGUGAUUGCUUCUUUUAGGUCUGGCCAAGUUGAGAAGGUUGGUUGUGACCUCAAUUUGGCUACUCCAGUCAGCAACUUUUUUGCAACCACUAAGGUAUGAAGACCUGUCCAGCCAACCAAAAUGGUAUUAUCAUCUAUUUCCUGUAUCCAUUUUAUAAUUGGAACUGCUGUACCAUCAAUUUCUGGAAUGCCUUCAAUGGCUUCUGUAAAAAAUAUAACAUUGCUACUUUGAUGUGACAUCUUCACCUGUUCUUUUAAAAUCUCUUGUUUUAAAUCUUCCUCGGCUUUAACCAAUAUAGAUUUUACUUUUUCCAUAUUAAAAGCUAAAAUGUUUUUUUGGGUGAUGAUUUCAAAUCAAAGGAUUGCAAUGUAAGCAAGUUGCUGGGGGCUUUAAAUUUGAUGGUAAAAAUAAUUUUUAAUUUAUAAAAAAUAAAUGCUAAAAAUAUACCUAUGUUUAAUCCAUUUUUAAAAAUUAUCCAUUUUUUAAAAAAAGAUUACUUCAACUGAAUAUCUUCCUUUCUUUUUUUUUUUUUUGCCAUUGUUUUUUGUUUUGGCAUAUUUCUUUUAGGCUUGGCGUCGUUUGCUUUAUCGUCAUUUGUAAAAUAAAGCAAAAAUCCGAAAUCUCGAUCCAGGAUGACCCCCAAAAUUUUGUCUUGGUCGGGAAUUCCAUCAAUCACAUAUUGAAUUAUGACUGCUUUCUCAAAAUUGCCUUGACUUCCAAGUUCUCUCAUAUUAAAAAAAAAUAUUCAUAGUAGGUUUCAUUUUGUUGUUUCUUUCUUUUGGUUAAAAGAAUAUGAAUAUUCCUACUAUCAAUUGGGUUGUCAAACUCUUGGGUGAUUGCUCCUUUAAGGUCUGACUGGCUGGGACACAUACAUAUAAAGCAGAUAACAUGCUAGAGAUUAUCUCCACUGUCUUAUGACAUAAAGAGAGUUAGUUAGGUGAGUCCUCUAAUGUAUUAGAGUGCCACCACCCGUGCUGGAGGAGCAAAGAGCUCUCCAGGCAUGAGGAUCAGAAAGGCAUCCCUAGCCCUGCAGUGCUCUUCAUGGUAGUCCUGAUCAGGUUAUCCACAGCUGGGUGCUUUGAGAUGAUGGUGUUGAGGUGUAUAUCUCCUGACCCCCAAUCUCCUGGAGGAGAGUGAUGAAACAAUAUGCCAAGUUGGAGACGUUUGUGGAUUUUUCCUACCCCAGAUCCCACCUAUAAACAAAAAAAAGGUGUUAGUGCCAACUUCUCUUGUAUGCCCCUACUCUGUUCCUACAAUCUCCUUCAGUACAAGCAACAUAAAUUCUGGGAAUGCAGUCACUUCAAUGGCUCUAUAUUGUGUCAAGUUCUGCCAGGGAGAGAUGGUCACUCAGUCCACAGUAUUGGCAACCACUACUUCGGUGAAAGAUGAUUGAUCUCUCUCCAUAUCCUUGCCAGAAUUCAUUCUGAUGAUGAAGUUGAUGCUCACCCCAGUCCUUGACUGACCUCUUGUUGGACUUUGAUUUAAAAAUUGUUGUUGCCUUGACGACAGUAUUGUUUGUUAAGAAUUUACAAAUGAAGGCCUCUGUGGCUGAGACAUUAUUUUAAGUCCAGUUGAGAAGGUUCCUGUUUGGUUAAAGUUCUCCUUGGGCCGCAGUUUACUAGGGAACUUUGCACCAUAUUAUAUUAAUGUUUGGUGUUUAUAGUUUUUAUAAUUAAGAAUGAGAUUUGUAUAAAUUGUUUAUUAAACUUUAUACUGAUCUUUUUAAAUCACCACGUUGUUUACAUUCUACAUCUUAUUCUUGUUGUUUAUAAUGAUGAUAUAUAUUUAUUCACAGAAUAAUAGGAUAUAUAUAUUUAGUCCCAAACAUCUCCCUAUUUUUAAAAACAAAAAGAUAGUGUAUAUGAGAUAAUAGCUAUAUAACUAAUGUGUGUAUAAAAGAGAUAUAAGAGAGUAAAUAAUCACUUAAGUAUCCAGAACAUAGUCGCUGUAUCUUGAUGGUGUUCGGAUUGGUCGACCAGAUCUUGUCCUCCGUGGGCCUGAGUCGGUGGAACGGGGUGUUUCCAUUGAAGUGGAGGAUUCACAGAUCAGAUCUACUUUAUUUUCAUUUGACUCAAAAUCUUCACCCUGUGGGUUUUGGUCCGUGUACUCUCCAUUAAGGUUUAAGCCUGAUGGUAAAGUUCUAAUGUUUCUUCUACAAGGUGGGAUCAAUAAAUAAGGUGAAUUAUAAUUUAUUUAAAAAAAAAAGAACGAUAUUAAAAUUAGGACUUGAUUUAUUCAAAAUAAUCACCUUGGCUUUCUAUACAUCGUCUCCAUCGUUCUGGAAACUUGUAAAUACCCUCUUUAUAGGCACUCUUAGGAAGAGUGUGAAAAAAAUCUUGCACCACUUUCUGGACAUCUUCAUCCGAGUCAAAUCGCUUUCCCUUUAACUCCUUCUUUAGUAGUCCAAAAAGGAAAUAGUCGGAGGGGGCUAGGUCUGGACUAUAUGCAGGAUGUGUGUUCUAAAACUUCAACUCCACCAGCGAGUGCAAGUAACCAAACGGGGCUCUGGCACAUUUGUAAGUGCAAAGUCGAACUGCUUUUCACAUGUGUAGACAUGUGGUGCGCUUACAGUAAAAAAAAAAAAGCAGUCGCUAACUACCCACCAUGAUUAUCAUGGCCUGUACCACGUGUACUAGGGAUAAGCAAAAAAAACAAAAAAAUCUAAUUUAAUGAUUGUAGAUACAGUUUUACAUGAUGUAUGCGGCCUUGCAUUAUCAUGAAGGAAGAGAACACCUUUACUAAGCCUCCCUCUUCUUUUGUUUCUUAUACCGGGCUUUAGCUUAUUUACAAGAAUGUCACAAUAAAGGUCGCUGUUCAUACGUUGCCUUGAGGAUAAAAAAUCAAGACAGAUUGGUCCAUCAACAUCCCAAAAAAUUGUUAACAAAACUUUACCGGCCGAAUGUUGAGACCUGAUUUUUUUUGGUCUUGGAGAGUCGCCUCGUUUCCAAUCCAUAGAUGUACAUUUUGUCAAAGGAUCAUAAUGAUAACACCAACUCUCAUCUCCAGUUACAAUUUGGUCAAGGAAAUGAUCACCUUCCUCUUCAUACUGCUUUAACAGAGCCUUUGAAACCCGAAUACGGUUAAGUUUUUGGUCCAAAUUAAGGAAAUGUGGAAUCCAUCUGCAGCAUAUUUUUCUAAAUUGCAAUUGUUCAUUAAAAAUGGUGUGCACAGUUCCAUAGCUUAUAUUCAAAUUGUCGGCUAUGGUAAAAAUGGAUAUUUUUCUAUCCUCCAAAAUUAAGUUUUCAACCGCAUUUAUCGUGCUUGGCGUCGCUGUAACACAUGGUCGUCCAGGUCGCUCAAUAUCGGAACAUGUAAUUUGUCCAUUUUUGAACUCGUUAACCCAUUAAUAAAUGUUUUUUUUAAGACAAACAAGUCUCACCAUAUUUUUCAUUCUUUGGCAUAUUUGAGAUGUUUGAAUACCUUCUGCAUUCAAGAAACGAAUAACUGCACGUUGUUCAAGCGUGGUGCAAUCCUUCAAGGGAGCUUCCAUUUUAGUUUAUUUAUAAGUCUCGCGCCGCGCGUGGGAAAAAAGAACAGAACACCUUAAAUAGUCUCUCGAUGUUAUAUUUUAAUAUUCUGUGGUUUAAAUUAUUUUUGCUUUUUUAAUUUUUAAAAAUAAGAUAAUUAACCUUAUUUAUUGAUCCCCCCUUGUAUUUCUUCUGUAUUAAUGACCUUCAACUAUAUACGAUCGGGGAUCUUGGGCAGAGAUGCAUUUACCCAUUCUCCACUUAUCUUUUUCUUUCAAUUUGACACUUAU
Molecule: non-coding RNA, 6530 nt
Organism: Cordylochernes scorpioides
Lineage: Eukaryota; Metazoa; Arthropoda; Arachnida; Pseudoscorpiones; Chernetidae
Source: the annotation of a GenBank genome assembly